CAGUGAGGAGCGGGCAGGGGCAGGGCUGAGGUGCUGUGGCGGGGAUAGCUGGUACUGGAGCGGGUCCAGAGAAAGGUAACGGAGCCGGUGCAGGGCCUGGAGCACAAGUGUAGGCUGAAGUCCCGCUCCCUAUAAAACUGAAGCAGAAAUGGACAUAGACAAAUAGCAUCCCAUCGUGACUACCGCCAUUUGGGUGCAGCUUGGUCUGUUGAAAAAAUAUGUUCAGUAUAUCAUGAAAAUUAAUGGUGCACGCAAUGGUAAGGACUCCAUGUGCUCAUCCAGACUUGGAGCAGCAAAACCCUGUGAUAAGACGCAGAGGUGCCAUCCAAAAGAGCUUUUCCAGUGACCAUUAUAUCACCUUCCCAAAUUACACAAGCUGGAAUAGUGAGGAUAGGCUUCUGUAAGACUUGCUGUAGCUCAGCCAGAUUCACAGCACAGAUAGGCUGGCUGGAGAGCCGAUUAUUUUUAACACUGCUAGUGAAGUUAUUCUAGUAGACAUCUAAAGCCAUAAUGAAACCUUACUGACAUUCAUACUCACUGCUUUCAAGUAAAACUCAUCUUUACAGAACCCCAACCUCUACAUAAAGCUGUAUUUUUACUGCAGAUAAACAUAUAAGUAUUAAAGAGUAGGAAUGUAUGAAGUUCUAAGAGGGACACUGAAUCCUUUUCUCCCAAGAGCAGAAUCUCGAGCUGCUAAGAGAUAAUUCAGGUCAAAACCGACUGAAUCAGCUUUUCUUCAUCUGCGGCAUGUGGAUAAGAAAGUCCUGUAUAGAUUCUGCAAUCCUCAAGCUCUUGAUGCUCAUUAAGUACUGUACCGGUAAUUAGAAUUCUUAUGACUCUCAAAGGGCUAAACCAGAAGAUUAAAAGAACUUUCUUUUCCUGUGAGAGGAUA
Pezoporus occidentalis (night parrot) is the source of this 892-nucleotide long non-coding RNA. RefSeq lists it as uncharacterized. NCBI's taxonomy places the organism in Eukaryota, Metazoa, Chordata, Aves, Psittaciformes, Psittacidae. The transcript is spliced from 3 exons. The record is from RefSeq and is a predicted model, not a curated record.